This 253-nucleotide ribosomal RNA is filed under the name uncultured bacterium. RNAcentral describes it as "partial 16S ribosomal RNA". It matches the Rfam family "Bacterial small subunit ribosomal RNA", at positions 524 to 776 of the family's 1533-position model. The record is from RNAcentral.
UACGGGGGGGGCAAGCGUUGUUCGGAAUUACUGGGCGUAAAGGGCUCGUAGGUGGCCAACUAAGUCAGACGUGAAAUCCCUCAGCUUAACCGGGGAACUGCGUCUGAUACUGGAUGGCUGGAGUAUGGGAGAGGAAUGCGGAAUUCCUGGUGUAGCGGUGAAAUGCGUAGAUAUCGGGAGGAACACCAGUGGCGAAGGCGGAGACCUGGGCCGAUACUGACGCUGAGGUGCGAAAGCGUGGGGAGCAAACAGG